AUUGAACGCUGGCGGCAGGCCUAACACAUGCAAGUCGAACGGUAACAGGAAGCAGCUUGCUGCUUUGCUGACGAGUGGCGGACGGGUGAGUCAUGUCUGGGAAACUGCCUGAUGGAGGGGGAUAACUACUGGAAACGGUAGCUAAUACCGCAUAACGUCGCAAGACCAAAGAGGGGGACCUUCGGGCCUCUUGCCAUCGGAUGUGCCCAGAUGGGAUUAGCUUGUUGGUGGGGUAACGGCUCACCAAGGCGACGAUCCCUAGCUGGUCUGAGAGGAUGACCAGCCACACUGGAACUGAGACACGGUCCAGACUCCUACGGGAGGCAGCAGUGGGGAAUAUUGCACAAUGGGCGCAAGCCUGAUGCAGCCAUGCCGCGUGUAUGAAGAAGGCCUUCGGGUUGUAAAGUACUUUCAGCGGGGAGGAAGGGAGUAAAGUUAAUACCUUUACUCAUUGACGUUACCCGCAGAAGAAGCACCGGCUAACUCCGUG
RNAcentral lists this ribosomal RNA (490 nucleotides) under uncultured bacterium. RNAcentral describes it as "partial 16S ribosomal RNA". It matches the Rfam family "Bacterial small subunit ribosomal RNA", at positions 30 to 507 of the family's 1533-position model. The record is from RNAcentral.